This 467-nucleotide ribosomal RNA is filed under the name uncultured bacterium. RNAcentral's name for it is "partial 16S ribosomal RNA". It matches the Rfam family "Bacterial small subunit ribosomal RNA", at positions 29 to 507 of the family's 1533-position model. The record is from RNAcentral.
ACGAACGCUGGCGGCGUGCUUCACACAUGCAAGUCGAACGGAAAGGCCCUGCUUUUGUGGGGUGCUCGAGUGGCGAACGGGUGAGUAACACGUGAGUAACCUGCCCUUGACUUUGGGAUAACUUCAGGAAACUGGGGCUAAUACCGGAUAGGAGCUCCUGCUGCAUGGUGGGGGUUGGUAAGUUUCGGCGGUUGGGGAUGGACUCGCGGCUUAUCAGCUUGUUGGUGGGGUAGUGGCUUACCAAGGCUUUGACGGGUAGCCGGCCUGAGAGGGUGACCGGCCACAUUGGGACUGAGAUACGGCCCAGACUCCUACGGGAGGCAGCAGUGGGGAAUAUUGCACAAUGGGCGGAAGCCUGAUGCAGCAACGCCGCGUGCGGGAUGACGGCCUUCGGGUUGUAAACCGCUUUCGCCUGUGACGAAGCGUGAGUGACGGUAAUGGGUAAAGAAGCACCGGCUAACUACGUG